AGGUUUGUUUCUAGGCUGACAAGAAUGUUCUAGAAUGGACUGCGGUGAUGUUUGUGUAACCUGUGCCAUACCGAACAUGACUAGACCGUUUACUUUAAAUGGGUAGACUGGAGAGCAGUGAUUGCGUUUGAGCAAAACUGGAAGGCAUCACCUGUAUGAGAGAUCUGUAUUUACUCAGGGCUGUGUCUUCAUUGGCUCGUGGUGGCUGCAGGGACAUCCAACAGUUGGCUAGAUGAUGUCCACUCUGGGACAGCCCUUCUGGUUCCUGGAUGUCAAAGGAUUCUGCCUCAAGCCAAAGUGCAUUCUGUACCAUCCAGAGGUCUGGCGUCAUUGGAAAUGGAUGGUGCUUGUUGGGGGAUGGGCUGAGGGUGAGGGAUAGGUUUCAGAUGGGCAGAGAAGUACUAUCAAGAAAGAGCUUCGAGGUGUGGAGAAGAGAGUCCUUUCAGAUAAGAGUGUGACAGGUGGUCAUGUGACCAGACGAGAUUAGACCCGGAGCUCCUGGAGAGGAAGAGGAUGAGUAAUUCAUUGCCGUGUGCUGGGUCCUCAGCCCAGGAGCUGGCUGGAAGCAGGUACAUAGUGAACUCAUGAAUGAACUCCAUGACGAGAGCAGACUCGAAGGCUGACUGAAAGAGCAGGGAGAGCAUCCAUCCGUAGGAGUUGAGCUCAGGUGCAGAGCAGGGAGGGUCUGCAAAAGGGCAGCUUCCUUCAGGAUGAUGGGGGCAGGUCCUCCAAAGGCUGCUGGGACCAGGUGUGAACUUAGACUCUGUGACAAGGAGUCGAUUAAUGAUGUCUGAGCGGAGGCCUGGGCAAUGCUGUAGAAUGUGCUGUAGCCAGGCUAUGGCUAUGUGGAGGAUCGAUGUAGAGCCAGCAUCGGGGCAGAGGCUGCUCAGAUUAGAGUCAGCAAGGACUGAAUGAAGCCAGUAGCAUCAGGGCCAAGGCAGGGCCAGAGGCAGAGACACUGGGUCACUUCCAAGGCAUAGUGAAAACUCCAAAAUGAAAUGUAUCUUCUAACUACUUUAUUUGUUUGGCAGAGCGGUAACUAUUAGAGGAAGCACUCACCAGUAAAUCUAAGAGGUCUGUGGCUGGGAGCUGCAGCCACCAUGCUGUGACGGUGAUUGAAGGAAUUCCCCCAAUCAUGGGUAACAAGAGAUCAGGGACUCAAAAGUCCAAUGCUCCACAGUGUGGCCGCAGUCCAAAGCUGUCAACGUGUGGACCCUAGACCAUGUUCAGUGGCCUCUGAUAGGCAGCAGUCGCUCUGGACCAGGCUUGAGAUUGACACGGAUGUCCCUGGGUGAGGGCCCUCUGUCAGCCACAGGGGAGAUCCCAAAACACCACAAUGGACCAACCCAGACAAGGCAGACCAGUGAAAGAGGUGUGAAAGUCUCAUUCUCCUGGAGAGACUUGUAAUUAGUGCUAGAGCUCUCACUUGUGAGUGUUUGGUCUCACAGAAGUUCUGAGCCAACUCUGUGCUUUACUUUUCUCCUCUGUGAAGCAGGACUAGUGAGUACACUCACUGAGUGGUUUUGGGGAUCCUGUGAAUUGCUGAAUUCUGGAUGCUCUAAACUGAUCUGUGCACUCAGGAGGCUGAGAUAGGACUGUGAGCUUGAGGCCAGUCUUCAGUCAGUACACACACACACACACACACACACACACACACACCCCACAGACACAAACACACACAGAGACACACACAUACACACACACAGAGACACAAACACAUACACACACAUACACACACAGGCACACAAACACACACAUACACACACAGACACACAUACAGACACACACACACAGAGACACAGACACACACAGAGACACAAACACACACACAGACACACACAGACACAUACAGACACACACACACAGAGACACAAACACACAGAGACACAAACACAUACACAUACACACACAGAGACACACACACACAUACACACACAGACACAAACACACACACAUACACACACAGACACAAACACACACACAUACACACACACAGAGACACAGACACACACAGAGAGACACACACACAGACACAAACACACACAGACACACAGACACACACACACACACACACACAGAGAGAGAGAGAGAGAGAGAGAGAGAGAGAGAGAGAGAGAGACCUUGUCUCAAGACAAACCAAAAACCUUGUGUAUACUCAGCUUCAUGGAGAUGUUGGCUGUGUUAUUACUAAAACAGAGACAGAACUAGACAGGAACCUGAGCCAUUUAGAGUGUCUCCCGUUACUCCUGUUAAACAGGCAUGGAAGCAGGAACAAGAUUCGGCUUUGAGGGGUUGGGGAUUUAGCUCAGUGAUAGAGCGCUUGCCUAGGAAGCUCAAGGUCCUGGGUUCGAUCCCCAGCUCCGAAAAAAAGAACCAAAAAAAAAAAAAAAAGAUUCGGCUUUGAAUUUGUGUUUCAGUGCAGGUCAGAUACACAACUAGGGCUAUUUGACAUAAAAUUAAACUUACCGAGUUUAGCAACCAUUUGCAAAGCAGUUCCUGUGUGCCAUAUUUGAUGUGAUGGCUCUGAAGUAACAGGGGACUGAGCAGUUCCUGCUCUUAAUGCCAUGAAAACCUGAUCACAGAUGUUCUUGUGUUGUGAGUGGCUGUCAAUGAUGGUCAAAGUGACCACAUUUAAGGGGUAAAACCUCAGGGAAUUAGAGGAAAAACAGCCCAGUCAUACAUAGAGAGGGGGUCCUGGCAGGGCCUUUGCAGGGUUUCUCACCCCCCAUCUUCCUGGACUCCCUUCUUCAGAGGCUACUCUUUCAGUUCCACUGGGGUUUCAGCGCUCUCUGUCCUUUGCACAGUUUCCUCAUUAGCCAGGAUCUGUAAGGGUGGGAGGGGAAGGAGGUACAGUGUGGGAAGGUGGAUGCAGUCAUGAGAAAAGGCAAGGACAUGGCCCCUGAUUUGUUGUUCUUGCCCUUCUUCCUUUUGUACCCCCACCAGGUGACUCAUGUGUUUGGCUCCGGGCAAACCCAUAGCCUUUGUCACCCAGUGGAGUAUACUGAUCAGGGUGCGCACUCUUUCUCUGAGGAGGGAGUCUGCUUUGAGCUGAGGCGCCAGCUCACAGAUCAGACCUGGUUUCCUGAAACUCUAUCACAAAAAUUCCCCGAGCCAAAGGAGAGGGAGUUACCUGGAAAGGGAGAGCAACGAGUUGCCAAGAGUUUCAGAAUCCUGGGGCGUAUGAAGCAUUCAAGCUGCAUCCUGAAACCUGUCAGAUUCGAUGUUUUGUCGGGGACAGGAUUCUGAGCACUGGUCACCCUCAGAGGUUAUUUUAGGGGGAAUACUGUCACCUCAUCCCCUCAGCCACCAAGUCAGAAAUUCUCAGAGACUACGGUGGUCAUCAGAGGUGCUGCUACUUAAGGCUUGGUGCCACAAGGGUGGGUGCGGUAGGGUGGGGUGGAGGUGGGGUUCUGGUGCUCAGAUCCCCUGCUCUGGCCAGAAAAUACAUCCACAAAGUUGUGCAAUCAUCAACAGUGUCUGGUUCUAGAAUUUUCAUCACCUCAGAAGGAGGCCCCGUACCCACACUGUAAUGUCUCCUCACAGUUACUCCUUAGUUUCAUGCUCCAGGAACCUCUAACCUUUUUUCUAUUAUGGUGGGCUUGCCUGUUAUGUGAGUUUCCCAUAAACGCACCCAUUUGUGAUUGGCUUCUUUCUCUUAGAGUAACAUCUUCAAAGUUCAGUCACGUCGUAGCCUGGAUCGGUGCUUCAUUUUUUUCACGGCUGAAGAAAAAUAAUUCAUUGUAUGGUAAUACUAUGUAUGCUUUGUUUAGCCAUUCAAAAGUUGAUGGGCAUUCGGGCAGUUUUUAGCUUUUGGUUAUUGGGAGCAGUGGUGCUAUGAACAUGCCCCCUGGCACAGCAGUCCACAAUACAGGGGGGAGUACACUGUGCAUUUUUUCUCCCAAAGCCAUCUUGCCGCACAGGGGGAGUUACUGCCACAUCACAUUCCCCCACUGGAUGGAAGGUUUUCUGAAACCAGGGGUUUCGUUUCUAUACAGGAUGGCCAGUCUGUUGUCAUGGGGCUGUCUGGCUUUCCACGUGGUUUCGACUUUGGCUCUCUACCCACGCCCCGCAGCUGGGUUUGGAGCUCAUACUGCGUCCCACUUCUCUCUGUUGUCUUCCUGUUUUCUCAUGCUUUUUAGCUGUCACACAGACAUUCUUUCUUGAUGCUCUUUUCCAUGUUCUCUUUACUUUUGGACACAGGGUCUCAUGUAGCUCAGGCUGGCCUGGAACAUACUGUGUAGACAAGGAUGACCUUAAAGUCCUGAUCCUCCAACAAUGCUUAGUCCAGGUUAUGUGUCAACAAGUGCUUUACCAUCUCUUCCGCCACCACUCCUCAACUGCGCAGGCGCAAUGCCUCUCCCAUCGUCUUUUCCGCCACUACUCCUAGACUGCGCAGGCGCAAUUCUUUUCUUUUCUUUCUUUUUUAAAUGCCUGAUAGUGGAGGUACUUGUGGCUGCUAGAAACUGUUAGUGAUUCGCGUGCGCUGUUUACGGAGUGUGUUAGCGAUGGCGACAGCGGAGGAGAAGCGGACGUCACCGGAGCCCGCGGCCGCGGAGAAGCCCGCGGAGCUGCCGGCCGCCGUACGCGCGAGCGUGGAGCGGAAGCGGCAGCGGGCGCUGAUGCUGCGCCAGGCCCGGCUGGCGGCGCGGCCGUACCCGGCGGCGGCGGCCACCGGAGGCGUGACCAGCAUAAAAGCAGCUCCCAAAGUGAUUGACACCAAAGGUGGCUUCAUUUUAGAAGAGGAGGAAGAAGAGAAACACAAGAUUGGAGAUGUUGUUCAUGAACCAGGGCCCGUCAUGGAGUUUGAUUACACCAUCUGUGAAGAGUGUGGGAAAGAGUUCAUGGACUCGUAUCUUAUGAACCACUUCGAUUUGCCAACAUGCGAUAGCUGCAGAGAUGCUGAUGAUAAACACAAGCUUAUAACCAAAACAGAAGCCAAGCAAGAAUACCUUCUGAAGGACUGUGAUUUAGAGAAAAGAGAGCCAGCGCUCAGGUUCAUUGUGAAGAAGAACCCUCGCCAUUCACAGUGGGGCGAUAUGAAGCUCUACUUAAAGCUACAGGUGUCUAGUUGUAAAGCGGGCUCUUGAAGUUUGGGGUAGCCAGGAAGCUCUGGAAGAUGCAAAGGAAGUGAGGCAGGAAAACCGAGAAAAAAUGAAGCAGAAGAAGUUUGAUAAAAAAGUAAAAGAACUGCGGCGAGCAGUAAGAAGCAGUGUAUGG
RNA transcript from Rattus norvegicus (Norway rat), 5217 nucleotides. It is a transcript of the gene named XPA, DNA damage recognition and repair factor, with no coding region annotated. The record is from RefSeq and is marked validated. Lineage: Eukaryota; Metazoa; Chordata; Mammalia; Rodentia; Muridae.